Molecule: small nucleolar RNA, 137 nt
Filed under: Ornithorhynchus anatinus (platypus)
Lineage: Eukaryota; Metazoa; Chordata; Mammalia; Monotremata; Ornithorhynchidae
Source: RNAcentral
CCCCUCUCAGGAUUGCACUGGAGGAUUUCCAGUACUCUACCAGUCUCGGCUAUGGGAGGGAGAGUCAAGCAGAGGCAUGCCCAUUCCAUUCCUAGCUUGGGCAGUGGCUAGUUAGUGGAAGGCAAUCUGCUACAAGU